UAAAUAAUUUUAUAUGGCAGAUAAAUGCAAAGGUUUUAAGCGCCUUUUAUGAGCUAUGCUCUUUUUUUU
Molecule: transfer RNA, 69 nt
Filed under: Vertigo pusilla
Lineage: Eukaryota; Metazoa; Mollusca; Gastropoda; Stylommatophora; Vertiginidae
Description: tRNA-Leu
Source: RNAcentral